GACGAACGCUAGCGGCAGGCCUAACACAUGCAAGCCGAGCGGUAUUUGUCCUUUUGAACAGUGAGAGCGGCGCACGGGUGCGGAACACGCGUGCAACCUGCCUUCAUCUGGGGGAUAGCCUUCCGAAAGGAAGAGUAAUACCCCCUAAAAUAUUGAUUGGCAUCAUUUGAUAUUGAAAACUCCGUUGGUUAGAGAUGGGCACGCGCAAGAUUAGUUAGUUGGUGAGGUAACGGCUCACCAAGUCAAUGAUCGUUAGGGGGCCUGAGGGGGUGAGCCCCCACAGGGGUACUGAGACACGGACCAGACUCCUACGGGCGGCAGCAGUGAGGAAUAUUGGACGGUGGAUUAGCGCCUGAUGGAGCCAUCCCGCGUGAAGGACGACGGCCCCAUGGGUGGUGAACUUCUUUUGUAAAGGGAUAAACCUACUCUCGUGAGAGUAGCUGAAGGUACUAUACGAAGAAGCACCGGCUAACUACGUG
RNAcentral lists this ribosomal RNA (479 nucleotides) under uncultured bacterium. RNAcentral describes it as "partial 16S ribosomal RNA". It matches the Rfam family "Bacterial small subunit ribosomal RNA", at positions 28 to 507 of the family's 1533-position model. The record is from RNAcentral.